GAACGCUAGCGACAGGCUUAACACAUGCAAGUCGAGGGGCAGCGGGGGUAGCAAUACCCGCCGGCGACCGGCGCACGGGUGAGUAACGCGUAUGCAACUUACCUAUCAGAGGGGGAUAACCCGGCGAAAAUCGGACUAAUACCGCAUGAAGCAGGGAUCCCGCAUGGGAAUAUUUGCUAAAGAUUCAUCGCUGAUAGAUAGGCAUGCGUUCCAUUAGGCAGUUGGCGGGGUAACGGCCCACCAAACCGACGAUGGAUAGGGGUUCUGAGAGGAAGGUCCCCCACAUUGGUACUGAGACACGGACCAAACUCCUACGGGAGGCAGCAGUGAGGAAUAUUGGUCAAUGGCCGAGAGGCUGAACCAGCCAAGUCGCGUGAGGGAUGAAGGUUCUAUGGAUCGUAAACCUCUUUUAUAAGGGAAUAAAGUGCGGGACGUGUCCCGUUUUGUAUGUACCUUAUGAAUAAGGAUCGGCUAACUCCGUGCCAGCAGCCGCGGUAAUACGGAGGAUCCGAGCGUUAUCCGGAUUUAUUGGGUUUAAAGGGUGCGUAGGCGGCCUUUUAAGUCAGCGGUGAAAGUCUGUGGCUCAACCAUAGAAUUGCCGUUGAAACUGGGGGGCUUGAGUAUGUUUGAGGCAGGCGGAAUGCGUGGUGUAGCGGUGAAAUGCAUAGAUAUCACGCAGAACCCCGAUUGCGAAGGCAGCCUGCCAAGCCGUUACUGACGCUGAUGCACGAAAGCGUGGGGAUCAAACAGGAUUAGAUACCCUGGUAGUCCACGCAGUAAACGAUGAUCACUAGCUGUUUGCGAUACACUGUAAGCGGCACAGCGAAAGCGUUAAGUGAUCCACCUGGGGAGUACGCCGGCAACGGUGAAACUCAAAGGAAUUGACGGGGGCCCGCACAAGCGGAGGAACAUGUGGUUUAAUUCGAUGAUACGCGAGGAACCUUACCCGGGUUUGAACGCAUUCGGACCGAGGUGGAAACACCUUUUCUAGCAAUAGCCGUUUGCGAGGUGCUGCAUGGUUGUCGUCAGCUCGUGCCGUGAGGUGUCGGCUUAAGUGCCAUAACGAGCGCAACCCUUGCCACUAGUUACUAACAGGUAAAGCUGAGGACUCUGGUGGGACUGCCAGCGUAAGCUGCGAGGAAGGCGGGGAUGACGUCAAAUCAGCACGGCCCUUACAUCCGGGGCGACACACGUGUUACAAUGGCGUGGACAAAGGGAAGCCACCUGGCGACAGGGAGCGAAUCCCCAAACCACGUCUCAGUUCGGAUCGGAGUCUGCAACCCGACUCCGUGAAGCUGGAUUCGCUAGUAAUCGCGCAUCAGCCAUGGCGCGGUGAAUACGUUCCCGGGCCUUGUACACACCGCCCGUCAAGCCAUGGGAGCCGGGGGUACCUGAAGUCCGUAACCGCGAGGAUCGGCCUAGGGUAAAACUGGUGACUG
Molecule: ribosomal RNA, 1439 nt
Filed under: uncultured organism
Description: SSU rRNA
Rfam family: Bacterial small subunit ribosomal RNA
Source: RNAcentral